GAUGGAUCUUUCUUAAUGGCUAUGCUCUUUCUCAGCAGGAAGAUUUGCAGCACAGACCUUCUGGAUCUCCACAAAGUUCACCCCAGUGCAUUGCGCCAGAUGCAUAUUCUGUAUCCCUCCGGAGUGAAAUAGAAGCAGAUGCUCAUGAGUUUGAAGCAGCGUGUUGGAGUGUUGCAGUGGAACAGUUAUGCAAAAAGACAAAAGAAAGACGUAAUAAGAAGGCAAGAUGUCAUUUAUGGACUAAUGCAGACUGAAAUGCACCAUGUUAGGACACUGAAAGUAACGCCGAAGGUGCACUCCAAAGCCACGAGAGAGGAACUGCAGUUCCCAAAUGCAGUCAUCAACAAGCUUUUCAUCUCUGUGGAUGAGCUGCUGGUGGUGGAUGGGCGAUUUCUGCUCCAGUUAAAGGAACGACAAAAGGAAUCCUUGGAAGAAGGCAGUGACCGUUUUUUGCCCUUCAUCUUUUACAAGUCCUCAGUGUUUUUAAGGCAGAGGCCCAGAGAUCCUUUAAAAUUCUUUUAGAAUGGUAAGCAUCAUUUAAUAUUUGGUUAUCUUGUGGUGUUCCAAGCUCUC
RNA transcript from Athene cunicularia (burrowing owl), 573 nucleotides. It is a transcript of the gene named rho guanine nucleotide exchange factor 2-like, with no coding region annotated. The record is from RefSeq and is a predicted model, not a curated record. The transcript has 4 exons. Lineage: Eukaryota; Metazoa; Chordata; Aves; Strigiformes; Strigidae.